AGUGUAUGGUUGUAUGGAGGAGCUUUGAGUCCAGAUUCUUUUCAUUCCAGCUAGGUGCCUACGGGAAGUUCAUCUAACCUGUGAAAGAUGUGGCCUCUUAACAAACACAUGUCUGGGUUGCUACUUGGUCCCAGUGUACAACAUGAUUCAUAUCCAUAUGCUGAGGUUCCCAUCCUGAUCCCAGAGCUGCACCACUUCAGGAGACAAAAGGGAGACUUACAUAAAGAGGACAGACAAUGUUUGAUAGACCUUGGCCCCCACUUGAACCCUGCAGUCUGCUCUUCCUUGGAAAGAAUCCCAUUUCAGACAGACACUUCUGGCAGAAGGUGCUGACAGACGUGGGAUGAGGCCGGAACUCGUGUCCUGUGACAAUCACCAGCUUUCUGAGGCCUACUCAUGUGUCUGUGCAGAAUGGCCACUUCUGGAUUCUGUUUUCAAAAAACAACAGUGACC
Molecule: long non-coding RNA, 453 nt
Filed under: Mus spicilegus (steppe mouse)
Lineage: Eukaryota; Metazoa; Chordata; Mammalia; Rodentia; Muridae
Description: lncRNA (ENSMSIG00000017272.1)
Source: RNAcentral